CGCUAAUACGUAGGGUGCAAGCGUUAAUCGGAAUUACUGGGCGUAAAGCGUGCGCAGGCGGUGAUGUAAGACAGGUGUGAAAUCCCCGGGCUUAACCUGGGAACUGCAUUUGUGACUGCAUUGCUGGAGUGCGGCAGAGGGGGAUGGAAUUCCGCGUGUAGCAGUGAAAUGCGUAGAUAUGCGGAGGAACACCGAUGGCGAAGGCAAUCCCCUGGGCCUGCACUGACGCUCAUGCACGAAAGCGUGGGGAGCAAACAGGAUUAGAUACCCUGGUAGUCCACGCCCUAAACGAUGUCAACUGGUUGUUGGUCCUUCACUGGAUCAGUAACGAAGCUAACGCGUGAAGUUGACCGCCUGGGGAGUACGGCCGCAAGGUUGAA
RNAcentral lists this ribosomal RNA (380 nucleotides) under uncultured bacterium. RNAcentral's name for it is "bacterial SSU rRNA". It matches the Rfam family "Bacterial small subunit ribosomal RNA", at positions 518 to 898 of the family's 1533-position model. The record is from RNAcentral.